CAGGCCUAACACAUGCAAGUCGAACGGCAGCACGGUAGAGCUUGCUCUAUGGGUGGCGAGUGGCGGACGGGUGAGUAAGGCAUCGGGACCUACCCAGACGUGGGGGAUAACGUAGGGAAACUUACGCUAAUACCGCAUACGUCCUACGGGAGAAAGCGGGGGAUCGCAAGACCUCGCGCGGUUGGAUGGACCGAUGUGCGAUUAGCUAGUUGGUGAGGUAACGGCUCACCAAGGCGACGAUCGCUAGCUGGUCUGAGAGGAUGAUCAGCCACACUGGGACUGAGACACGGCCCAGACUCCUACGGGAGGCAGCAGUGGGGAAUAUUGGACAAUGGGCGCAAGCCUGAUCCAGCAAUGCCGCGUGUGUGAAGAAGGCCUUCGGGUUGUAAAGCACUUUUAUCAGGAGCGAAAUCUGCAGGGCUAAUACCCAUGCAGUCUGACGGUACCUGAGGAAUAAGCACCGGCUAACUCCGUGCCAGCAGCCGCGGUAAU
RNAcentral lists this ribosomal RNA (492 nucleotides) under uncultured bacterium. RNAcentral describes it as "bacterial SSU rRNA". It matches the Rfam family "Bacterial small subunit ribosomal RNA", at positions 43 to 524 of the family's 1533-position model. The record is from RNAcentral.